Molecule: ribosomal RNA, 479 nt
Filed under: uncultured bacterium
Lineage: Bacteria
Description: bacterial SSU rRNA
Rfam family: Bacterial small subunit ribosomal RNA
Source: RNAcentral
GAUGAACGCUGGCGGCGUGCCUAACACAUGCAAGUCGAACGAAUUACUUUAAAGGAAGUUUUCGGAUGGAAUUUAAAGUAGUUAGUGGCGGACGGGUGAGUAACGCGUGGGAAACCUGCCCUAUACAGGGGGAUAGCCUCGGGAAACUGGGAUUAAUACCCCAUAAAAACUCUAGUAUCGCAUGAUACAUGAGCCAAAGAUUUAUCGGUAUAGGAUGGUCCCGCGUCUGAUUAGCUAGUUGGUGAGGUAACGGCUCACCAAGGCGACGAUCAGUAGCCGGCCUGAGAGGGUGAACGGCCACACUGGAACUGAGACACGGUCCAGACUCCUACGGGAGGCAGCAGUGGGGAAUAUUGCACAAUGGGGGAAACCCUGAUGCAGCGACGCCGCGUGAGCGAAGAAGGCCUUCGGGUCGUAAAGCUCUGUCCUAAGGGAAGAAACGGACGGUACCGUUAGGAGGAAGCCCGGCUAACUACGUG